This is a long non-coding RNA of Oncorhynchus tshawytscha (Chinook salmon), 1516 nucleotides long. NCBI's taxonomy places the organism in Eukaryota, Metazoa, Chordata, Actinopteri, Salmoniformes, Salmonidae. The record is from Ensembl.
GUUUUAUUCUGAACAAAAAUAAACAUAACAUGUAAAGUGUUGGUUUCAUGAGCUGAAAUAUAAGAUCCCAGAAAUGACGUACGCACAAUAAUAUUAUUUCUCUCAAAUUGAACACAAAUUUGUGUACCUCCCUGUUAGUGAGCAUUUCUCCUUUGCCAAGAUAUUCCAUCUGCCUGACUGGUGUGACAUAUCAAGAAGCUGAUUUAAAAACAUGAUCCUUGUGCUGGGGACAAUAAAAGGCCAUUCUAAAAUGUGCCGUUUUGUCACACAACACAAUGCCACAGAUGUCUCAAGUUCAGGGAGCAUGCAUAUGGCAUGCUGACUGCAGGAAUGUCCAUCAGAGCGGUUGCCAGAUGAAUCCCAGUUUCAACUCUACCCGGGCAGAUGGCGUCGUGUGGGCGAGCGGUUUGCGGAUGUCAACGUUGUGAACACAGGGCCCCAAGUAACUUCACACAGCCAUCAAAAAGCAGUGGGACAACAUUCCACAGGCCACAGUCAACAGUCUGAUCAACUCUGUGUGAAGGAGAUGUGUCACGCUGCACACCAAAUACUGACUGGUUUUCUGAUCCAUGCUCCUACUUUUUUUUAAGGUAUCUGUGACCAACAUAUUCAUAUGAGUAUUCCCAGAUCAUGUGAAAUCCAUACAUUUGGGCCUAAAGAAUUUAUUACAAUUGACUCAUUUCCUUAUAUGAAUUGUAAGUAGGUAAAAUCUUUGACAUUUGCAUGUUGCGUUUAUAUUUGUGUUCGGUGUAUCUUGAAAAGAUUAGUUAACAAGGGAUGAGUCGAACUUGUGCAAGUCUCCCAUUGACAUCAAUAUGCAUUUCAGGGUUUUAGUCUCUGGUGACCUACAGAAACAUGGAGUAGAUGGCCAGAGGCCAGCGAUUACACAAUUUUGGUUGCGGGGGCCGAGGAUACCAUUAGGUCCAUAUGUUAUGAUAGAAUGAUGUCUUUCACAGCACCCAACACAUCCCAACACAUCCCAACACAUCACAACACAUCCCAACCAUCCCAACACAUCCCAACCAUCCCAACACAUCCCAACACAUCCCAACACUGUCACAUCUGAACGUAUUUGACAAAUAAGCAGCAUAUGUUACCACAAUCCCAACAGAGCCGUGGUAACUGUGUUAAAGCAAAGCUCUGGUAACUUCCUGGACAGCUGUAAGCAUCAGGCCAAGUCGAGGAGAAUAAGCAGACCUGCAAUAAAUAAGUCUGCAAAAUGCACAAAAUACAGGAAACUGCCAAAAUACAGGAAACAUUUGAGUAAAUGAGGGUUCUGGUGUGGGGUGCAUUUUCCUGGCAUGGUUGAGGUCCACUCAGCCCCUUAGAGGGCAAGGUAAACACCAAUAAAUACACAGCCAUUCAAAGUGAUGACCAUCAACCUGUGGUGAAUCAUUUCUAUGCUGAUGGGUGUGGUCUCUUCCAGGAUGACAAUGCUCCCAUCCACAGGGCACAAGUGGUCACUACAUGGGUUUGAUGAGCAUGUUAAUGGUGUUAAAACCAUAUGCCAUGGCUG